RNAcentral lists this ribosomal RNA (199 nucleotides) under uncultured bacterium. RNAcentral describes it as "partial 16S ribosomal RNA". It matches the Rfam family "Bacterial small subunit ribosomal RNA", at positions 336 to 527 of the family's 1533-position model. The record is from RNAcentral.
UUCCUACGGGAGGCAGCAGUGGGGAAUAUUGCACAAUGGGCGCAAGCCUGAUGCAGCCAUGCCGCGUGUAUGAAGAAGGCCUUCGGGUUGUAAAGUACUUUCAGCGGGGAGGAAGGCGAUAAGGUUAAUAACCUUGUCGAUUGACGUUACCCGCAGAAGAAGCACCGGCUAACUCCGUGCCAGCAGCCGCGGUAAUACA